This is a non-coding RNA of Paramuricea clavata, 360 nucleotides long. Lineage: Eukaryota; Metazoa; Cnidaria; Anthozoa; Malacalcyonacea; Plexauridae. The record is from the annotation of a GenBank genome assembly.
CAAUUAUUUUAUUAUCCAUGGUUUGAGAUAUCAUAAGACUGAAUCAGUAUUUUGAUAGCCUUGCUAAACAAGCCGUCUAUCUCUUUAGACUCAUUUGACAUUUGGACGUGAAUUCACAGCAGCUGUUGAAGCGAAGCAAGUUGGUAUGUAUUGGAAUGAAUUGUUUACAUUUUAAUACAUCGUGCAUUGAAAAUGUUUCUCUCUUUCAUUUACAGCUCAACAGGAAGCUGAGAGAGCCAGAUUUCUUGUCGAGAAGGUAAUUAGAUUUUAAAUAUAAAGUUAGUGAUUGACCGAUUGUGCAACAAUCGGAGAUCCGAUUAUUCAUGCCAAAUCUUAGCCGAUUUUAUAAUGACGUGAUAA